UUAAUCUUGUGUAUGAUUAGCUUGGGUUUCAGCUAUCUGAAGUUCAGAAAUGUGGUAGGAUUUAUGAGGAUAAACUUUGUUAGUUUUAAUUAGUAGUCCCAAAGUGAGGCCCCAAGCUACAGUCAGAGAUCCUUUGAAAGCAGGGAAUAAACUGACAGGUGUGGUUGAAACAACAGGUCACGUGUGAAAUUGGCUGUUACUUAAGCAAGCAGAAUGCUUGUGCAACAUAUUUGCUUUGUGCAGUGCAGCAGGAACGAAACCCAGGGAUUCUUUUUCUGGCCUGCAGAGGAGACAAAAGCAACAUGAACACUGCAGGAAAAGUAAGCAAAAACAUUUCACUGUUGGAAGUUUAUUCUCAUUCAUAUAAUACAUAAAAUGAUACAGAUAUGAUGAAUAAUCUAAAACCAAUAUCUGCAUUAGACAUAGUGUACAGUGAAAUACAAUAUGCAAUAUAUACUAUAAUAUAUGAGGAAUACUGAACUACAGUAGAAAUAAACUUUUCUAGAAUAUCAUUGAUGAGAAUGUAAAGAAUCUGGAACUAAUAAAUAGUAUUUCCUACAUUGAA
Non-coding RNA from Heterocephalus glaber (naked mole-rat), 565 nucleotides. The record is from RefSeq and is a predicted model, not a curated record. NCBI's taxonomy places the organism in Eukaryota, Metazoa, Chordata, Mammalia, Rodentia, Bathyergidae.